CCUGUUCCCAUUCCGAACACAGAAGUUAAGCAUCAUCACGGCGAAGAUAGUACUUCGGUGCGAAAAUAGCUCGUUGCCAGUU
RNAcentral lists this ribosomal RNA (82 nucleotides) under Bacillota bacterium. The record is from RNAcentral. Lineage: Bacteria; Bacillati; Bacillota.